RNAcentral lists this small RNA (86 nucleotides) under Lacinutrix sp. 5H-3-7-4. RNAcentral's name for it is "Flavo-1 RNA". It matches the Rfam family "Flavo-1 RNA". Lineage: Bacteria; Pseudomonadati; Bacteroidota; Flavobacteriia; Flavobacteriales; Flavobacteriaceae. The record is from Rfam by way of RNAcentral.
UUUUAUUUGCGUUAGCGAUUGCAACGGCAUCCUUUUUUUGCUGCCAUAUAUGGCAAAAAAAGAUAUAGUGUAAAGCGCGACCAAAA